UCAGCAAUGAUGAUUGGCGCAGGGGUACAGACCUCAGCUGUAUUAUGGGAGCUGAAUGUAAAUGUUUUUGUCCUGCAUGUGGUGGGAAAAGUGAGAACAUUUACAUGAGAGUGGUGCCUACAUCUGAGCUGC
Chelonoidis abingdonii (Abingdon island giant tortoise) is the source of this 132-nucleotide small nucleolar RNA. Ensembl annotates it as small nucleolar RNA, C/D box 94. Its record names the gene SNORD94. NCBI's taxonomy places the organism in Eukaryota, Metazoa, Chordata, Testudines, Testudinidae. The record is from Ensembl.